UUAAAACUCAAAUGAAUUGACGGGGGCCCGCACAAGCGGUGGAGCAUGUGGUUUAAUUCGAUGCAACGCGAAGAACCUUACCUGGUCUUGACAUCCACAGAACUUUCCAGAGAUGGAUUGGUGCCUUCGGGAACUGUGAGACAGGUGCUGCAUGGCUGUCGUCAGCUCGUGUUGUGAAAUGUUGGGUUAAGUCCCGCAACGAGCGCAACCCUUAUCCUUUGUUGCCAGCGGUUAGGCCGGGAACUCAAAGGAGACUGCCAGUGAUAAACUGGAGGAAGGUGGGGAUGACGUCAAGUCAUCAUGGCCCUUACGACCAGGGCUACACACGUGCUACAAUGGCGCAUACAAAGAGAAGCGACCUCGCGAGAGCAAGCGGACCUCAUAAAGUGCGUCGUAGUCCGGAUUGGAGUCUGCAACUCGACUCCAUGAAGUCGGAAUCGCUAGUAAUCGUGAAUCAGAAUGUCACGGUGAAUACGUUCCCGGGCCUUGUACACACCGCCCGUCACACCAUGGGAGUGGGUUGCAAAAGAAGUAG
This 535-nucleotide ribosomal RNA is filed under the name Kosakonia sp. RNAcentral's name for it is "bacterial SSU rRNA". It matches the Rfam family "Bacterial small subunit ribosomal RNA", at positions 894 to 1429 of the family's 1533-position model. Lineage: Bacteria; Pseudomonadati; Pseudomonadota; Gammaproteobacteria; Enterobacterales; Enterobacteriaceae. The record is from RNAcentral.